This 1433-nucleotide ribosomal RNA is filed under the name Campylobacter rectus. Its description in RNAcentral is "bacterial SSU rRNA". It matches the Rfam family "Bacterial small subunit ribosomal RNA". Lineage: Bacteria; Pseudomonadati; Campylobacterota; Epsilonproteobacteria; Campylobacterales; Campylobacteraceae. The record is from RNAcentral.
AGUGAACGCUGGCGGCGUGCCUAAUACAUGCAAGUCGAACGGAGAUUAAGUAGCUUGCUAUUUAAUCUUAGUGGCGCACGGGUGAGUAAUAUAUAGCUAAUCUGCCCUACACUAGAGGACAACAGUUGGAAACGACUGCUAAUACUCUAUACUCCUUCUAAGCAUAAGCUUAGUCGGGAAAGUUUUUCGGUGUAGGAUGAGGCUAUAUCGUAUCAGCUAGUUGGUAAGGUAACGGCCUACCAAGGCUAUGACGCGUAACUGGUCUGAGAGGAUGAUCAGUCACACUGGAACUGAGACACGGUCCAGACUCCUACGGGAGGCAGCAGUAGGGAAUAUUGCUCAAUGGGGGAAACCCUGAAGCAGCAACGCCGCGUGGAGGAUGACACUUUUCGGAGCGUAAACUCCUUUUCUUGGGAAAGAAUUAUGACGGUACCCAAGGAAUAAGCACCGGCUAACUCCGUGCCAGCAGCCGCGGUAAUACGGAGGGUGCAAGCGUUACUCGGAAUCACUGGGCGUAAAGGACGCGUAGGCGGAUUAUCAAGUCUCUUGUGAAAUCUAACGGCUUAACCGUUAAACUGCUUGGGAAACUGAUAAUCUAGAGUAAGGGAGAGGCAGAUGGAAUUCUUGGUGUAGGGGUAAAAUCCGUAGAGAUCAAGAAGAAUACCCAUUGCGAAAGCGAUCUGCUGGAACUUAACUGACGCUAAUGCGUGAAAGCGUGGGGAGCAAACAGGAUUAGAUACCCUGGUAGUCCACGCCCUAAACGAUGUAUACUAGUUGUUGCUUCGCUAGUCGAGGCAGUAAUGCACCUAACGGAUUAAGUAUACCGCCUGGGGAGUACGGUCGCAAGAUUAAAACUCAAAGGAAUAGACGGGGACCCGCACAAGCGGUGGAGCAUGUGGUUUAAUUCGAAGAUACGCGAAGAACCUUACCCGGACUUGAUAUCUAACAAAUCAUCCAGAGAUGGAAGAGUGUCUGCUUGCGGAAAUGUUAAGACAGGUGCUGCACGGCUGUCGUCAGCUCGUGUCGUGAGAUGUUGGGUUAAGUCCCGCAACGAGCGCAACCCACGUAUUUAGUUGCUAACGGUUAGGCCGAGCACUCUAAAUAGACUGCCUUCGUAAGGAGGAGGAAGGUGUGGACGACGUCAAGUCAUCAUGGCCCUUAUGUCCGGGGCGACACACGUGCUACAAUGGCGUAUACAAUGAGACGCAAUAUCGCGAGAUGGAGCAAAUCUAUAAAAUACGUCCCAGUUCGGAUUGGAGUCUGCAACUCGACUCCAUGAAGCCGGAAUCGCUAGUAAUCGUAGAUCAGCCAUGCUACGGUGAAUACGUUCCCGGGUCUUGUACUCACCGCCCGUCACACCAUGGGAGUUGAUUUCACUCGAAGCCCAAAUACCAAAUCGGUUAUGGUCCACAGUGGAAUCAGCGACUGGGGUG